CUUUCCUAAUAUUGGGCUCAACAACCAAUUCCCCUAUUCACAUCUUGCCGAAUCCAUCCCACACUCCAGCCUUCAUUCAGACCCAAAACGGAACCACGGAAUAGAGCCGUAGAUCUUCUUCUUCUUCCAUGAUAAGUCCUAGUAUCCCACGACCGCAUUAGAUCCCUCCACGUCCACGAACAGAUCUCCCGACCAAGGAAAAGAGCCGUUUGCCCCAGCCUAGCAUUCUUAUCCUCUCCGGAUUCUUCUCAUUUGCGAUGGCUUCCCUCCCAGUCGGAUGAGCAUCCCAGCUCUCUCCGCAUCCAUGC
Molecule: long non-coding RNA, 308 nt
Filed under: Phoenix dactylifera (date palm)
Lineage: Eukaryota; Viridiplantae; Streptophyta; Magnoliopsida; Arecales; Arecaceae
Description: long non-coding RNA (PDAC_LNC004612)
Source: RNAcentral